ACUCUUCUAGUAUAACAAAGUACAAGUGGCUUCCAACCAUUAAGUUUUAGUUUAACCCUAAAGAAAAGUA
Molecule: transfer RNA, 70 nt
Filed under: Rhinoclemmys punctularia
Lineage: Eukaryota; Metazoa; Chordata; Testudines; Geoemydidae
Description: tRNA-Gly
Rfam family: tRNA
About the family: Transfer RNA (tRNA) molecules are approximately 80 nucleotides in length.
Source: RNAcentral